AAGCGUAUAUUAAAGUUGUUGCAGUUAAAACGCUCGUAGUCGGAUUUCGGGGCGAGCCUGCCGGUCUGCCGAUGGGUAUGCACUGGCAGGGUCGUCCUUCCUUCCGGAGACUGUCCCUACUCUUAACUGAGCGGGGUCGGGAGACGGAUCGUUUACUUUGAAAAAAUCAGAGUGUUUCAAGCAGGCAGCUCGCUCUUGCAUGGAUUAGCAUGGGAUAAUGAAAUAGGACUUUGGUGCUAUUUUGUUGGUUUCGAACACCGAAGUAAUGAUUAACAGGGACAGUCAGGGGCACUCGUAUUCCGCCGAGAGAGGUGAAAUUCUCAGACCAGCGGAAGACGAACCACUGCGAAAGCAUUUG
Molecule: ribosomal RNA, 358 nt
Filed under: Haptophyta environmental samples
Lineage: Eukaryota; Haptophyta
Description: SSU rRNA
Rfam family: Eukaryotic small subunit ribosomal RNA
Source: RNAcentral